AAUCUUCCGCAAUGGGCGAAAGCCUGACGGAGCAACGCCGCGUGAGUGAUGAAAGUCUNCGGAACNUNAAACUCUGUUGUUAGGGNCGAACAAAUUUGUUAGUAACUGAACAAGUCUUUACGGUACCUAACCAGAAAGCCACGGCUAACUACGUGCCAGCAGCCGCGGUAAUACGUAGGUGGCAAGCGUUAUCCGGAAUUAUUGGGCGUAAAGCGUGCGUAGGCGGUUUCUUAAGUCUGAUGUGAAAGCCCACGGCUCAACCGUGGAGGGACAUUGGAAACUGGGAAACUUGAGUGCAGAAGAGGAGAGUGGAAUUCCAUGUGUAGCGGUGAAAUGCGCAGAGAUAUGGAGGAACACCAGUGGCGAAGGCGGCUCUCUGGUCUGUAACUGACGCUGAUGUGCGAAAGCGUGGGGAUCAAACAG
This 423-nucleotide ribosomal RNA is filed under the name uncultured bacterium. RNAcentral's name for it is "partial 16S ribosomal RNA". It matches the Rfam family "Bacterial small subunit ribosomal RNA", at positions 360 to 775 of the family's 1533-position model. The record is from RNAcentral.